GCCUCCACCCUUUCAUCGGUCUCCUUCUCCUCCCCGAUCUUGAAGAAAGGUAUUGCUGAGACGCAAAGCACAAGUUGGAAGAUUCAAAAUGAGGUAUUCAUGAUUAGUGUUACCCUGCAUCCACUUGUUAAAUCGAAGAAUUUGAGCCCUGUGCCACUGAUGAUUCCAUUUGCUACUCUUGAUCUGUCUGGAUGAUGAAUCUGCAACCACCAAUUGCAUGUUCUGAGAUGGUAUACUCUGGGAAUGCCAAUAUCUGAAACUGUUGCCAUGAAGCCAAUGGAAAUUAGUCAUGUGACUGAAACUUUGGCAAAGAACUCUGACCUCAUGCUGUGAUGGGAUCCUGGAGUCUCAAGUCUAGUUUGGCUGUUAAUUUAGGACCCAGUAGAUGCAGAAACUGGAUUUGGUGUUACAAGAAGGCUGGCUGAAGUGCAGUAGAUACUGGCAUAAAGGAUUGGAACUAAAUGUAGAGGUGUCCCAGUCAGGUGGCCAGUGAAUUUACAACUGCCAGUGUAGCUAAGAAUGAGAAAUGACGACGCUAUCAAGAGAUGCAGUGGGAGACAUCCAUGAAUUUCAGACAACGUUUUUUAUCCCGGGUGCUUACUGAUUUCCACUAUCAAUAAAAUGUGUGCACUUA
Long non-coding RNA from Oncorhynchus nerka (sockeye salmon), 634 nucleotides. RefSeq lists it as uncharacterized. NCBI's taxonomy places the organism in Eukaryota, Metazoa, Chordata, Actinopteri, Salmoniformes, Salmonidae. The record is from RefSeq and is a predicted model, not a curated record. The transcript has 9 exons.